ACGGAAGGCAGCAGUGGGGAAUAUUGCGCAAUGGGGGAAACCCUGACGCAGCAACGCCGCGUGAGGGAAGACGGUCUUCGGAUUGUAAACUUCUGUUCUUAGUGAAGAUAAUGACGGUAGCUAAGGAGCAAGCCACGGCUAACUACGUGCCAGCAGCCGCGGUAAUACGUAGGUGGCAAGCGUUGUCCGGAAUUACUGGGUGUAAAGGGAGCGCAGGCGGGAAAUCAAGUUGGAUGUGAAAUGUCGGGGCUUAACCCCGGAACUGCAUCCAAAACUGAUUUUCUUGAGUGAAGUAGAGGUAGGCGGAAUUCCGAGUGUAGCGGUGAAAUGCGUAGAUAUUCGGAGGAACACCAGCGGCGAAGGCGGCCUACUGGGCUUUAACUGACGCUGAGGCUCGAAAGUGUGGGGAGCAAACAGGAUUAGAUACCCUGGUA
This 434-nucleotide ribosomal RNA is filed under the name uncultured Clostridium sp. RNAcentral's name for it is "partial 16S ribosomal RNA". It matches the Rfam family "Bacterial small subunit ribosomal RNA", at positions 341 to 792 of the family's 1533-position model. The record is from RNAcentral. Lineage: Bacteria; Bacillati; Bacillota; Clostridia; Eubacteriales; Clostridiaceae.